UCAGUAAGAUCUUUCAUACUUGCAUCCUAUUAUAAGUGUGGAGGAUCUUGCUGUUUU
Molecule: microRNA precursor, 57 nt
Filed under: Monodelphis domestica (gray short-tailed opossum)
Lineage: Eukaryota; Metazoa; Chordata; Mammalia; Didelphimorphia; Didelphidae
Description: microRNA mdo-mir-12302 precursor
Source: miRBase by way of RNAcentral